GACGAACGCUGGCGGCGUGCUUAACACAUGUAAGUCGAACGGUGAACCUCUUCGGAGGGGAUCAGUGGCGAACGGGUGAGUAACACGUGGGCAACCUGCCCCCGGCUCUGGGAUAACUCCAAGAAAUUGGGGCUAAUACCGGAUGUUCACCGCUUCCCGCAUGGGUGGUGGUGCAAAGGGUUUCCGGCUGGGGAUGGGCCCGCGGCCUAUCAGCUUGUUGGUGGGGUAGUGGCCUACCAAGGCGACGACGGGUAGCCGGCCUGAGAGGGUGACCGGCCACACUGGGACUGAGACACGGCCCAGAGUCCUACGGGAGGCAGCAGUGGGGAAUAUUGCGCAAUGGGCGGAAGCCUGACGCAGCGACGCCGCGUGGGGGAUGACGGCCUUCGGGUUGUAAACCUCUUUCAGCAGGGACGAAGCGCAAGUGACGGUACCUGCAGAAGAAGCACCGGCCAACUACGUG
Molecule: ribosomal RNA, 463 nt
Filed under: uncultured bacterium
Lineage: Bacteria
Description: partial 16S ribosomal RNA
Rfam family: Bacterial small subunit ribosomal RNA
Source: RNAcentral